RNAcentral lists this long non-coding RNA (631 nucleotides) under Nicotiana tabacum (common tobacco). RNAcentral describes it as "long non-coding RNA (NTAB_LNC007190)". Lineage: Eukaryota; Viridiplantae; Streptophyta; Magnoliopsida; Solanales; Solanaceae. The record is from RNAcentral.
AAAGAAAAAUUCAGUUUAGGGUUUAAAACCCUAAUGCUGACUGCAUGGAAAAAGCUCAGUUUAGGGUUUAAAACCCUAAUGCUGGCUGAAAAGGAAAAAGUUCAGUUUAGGGUUUAAAACCCUAAUGCUGACUAAAAGGAAAAUUCAGUUUAGGGUUUAAAACCCUAAUGCUGAUUGCAUGGAAAAGCUCAGUUUAGAGUUUAAAACUCUAAUGCUGGCUGAAAGGAAAAAGUUCAGUUUAGGGUUUAAAACCCUAAUGCUGAUUAAAAGGAAAAUUCAGUUUAGGGUUUAAAACCCUAAUGCUGAUUGCAUGAAAAAGCUCAGUUUAGAGUUUAAAACUCUAAUGCUGGCUGAAAGGAAAAAAUUCAGUUUAGGGUUUAAAACCCUAAUGCUGAUUAAAAGGAAAAUUCAGUUUAGGGUUUAAAACCCUAAUGCUGAUUACACGAAAAAGCUCAGUUUAGAGUUUAAAACUCUAAUGUUGGCUGGAAGGAAAAAGUUCAGUUUAGUGUUUAAAACCCUAAUGCUGACUAAAAAGGAAAAUUCAGUUUAGGUUUAAAACCCUAAUGCUUAUUGCAUGGAAAAGCUCAGUUUAGAGUUUAAAACUCUAAUGCUGGCUAAAAGGAAAAAGUUC